This is a non-coding RNA of Ictidomys tridecemlineatus (thirteen-lined ground squirrel), 3750 nucleotides long. The record is from RefSeq and is a predicted model, not a curated record. NCBI's taxonomy places the organism in Eukaryota, Metazoa, Chordata, Mammalia, Rodentia, Sciuridae.
CGCCCGGGGCCUUCUUCGGGGUGGCCGGGAGCCAACUUUCUGGGGAGUUGGUGGCCUGGAAUCUCAUUGGGAUUUCUGGAGUUCCCUGGAGCCUCCAGUGCCAGAGUCGCGCCUUUCAGCAGCCUGGGGAGGCCGCGGGAGAGGGCCGGGUCUCCUCCCCGCAACGGUCCUGCCAGCCAAGCACCCUUGGCCCUGGGGAGCCCAAGGCCGUGCCAGGCCGGCCUGGUUUUCUUGCCUCAGCUCCAUGGCGCCUAGUUUCUUUGGACUUGCUCCUUCUGAGCCUUUUUUUCCUCCGCAGUAAAAGCGAGGGGCAGCAGGAGGGAGACCGGGCUACCUACCUCACCAGACGCUCCACAAAUGCCAGUUGACUUCUCCAGCUGCGGCGUUGAGAAGCUGCAGUGUCUGGCAGGCCGGACCCAGCGUCCACGACAGACUUGGGAGACUUGCAGUGCCUCUACCUCAGCCCCUGCCCUGCCUUCUUUGCAAACCUGAUGUGUUUAUAGAGCAGAAGAAGGGCUUGACGUAUUUUUUUUUUUCCACUAAGAAAAUCUGUUGUAGAAAACCACUGUGUGCAUGGUGGUGCCAUGAGACCUUCUAACAAAGCGAGGCCAAUAAGGAUGGGACAUGUUUGGAGUAUUUGUAUCCUGCCUCAUACUGGCCCAGUGACCUGGCCAAAUUCUCUCUACUUUGCCUCUGUCUCCUAAUGGUAUAAUGGGAAGGAGGAGAGUUUGAAUUAGAUGUCCCUAAUGUGAGCUAAAAUAGCUGAUUUUUAGGCCAAUAUCUGUUGUAGAUGUUAGGGAAGUAUGUGGCUCCCUCUCCUGAAGCAGCCCCGCUUCAAAGUACAUUAGGACUGGAAAAGUGCUUCUGGCAGCAGAUGAGGCCUGGGGUACCCACUAUAUUUGAGCUACUUAGCUCCCUGAGGCCGGGAUUUACCCUUUCACCUUUCACCCCAUUUGGCCAGAGCAGUUAAUGCUUUGCUUUGCCUCAGGCCACCCAGGGAGGGCCUGGAGUAGUUCUGGGCACCCUGGCAGGAUGUGGUUGGGGAAAACAGUGAUUUCCCCUGGCUUCUGUCCAACCUGUCAAAGUGGGGGACAGCUCCGAUGCAGGUCAGGACUAUUCCUGGGGAUUUGAUUCCCAAUAUCUCCUGCAUGCCAGGCAGGGUGCCAAACUCUUCCGGGGCAAAGCUGAACAGGCCACCAGGCCCUUCCCUCUAGCUGUUCCCAUUGUUUGUCUGUGAGUUUCAUUUUCAAAUUCUCAGGCACAAUGACUUUAAAAAGAGCAAUGCCUGGCUUCAGCCUGGGUCAGGGCUGCAGAAGCAAAAGUAACAGGACUCAGCAGGCUCACGCCUUCUGAACAAAAAUAGGAGAAGCAGAGGAGCUUCCUGAAAACCGCGUUGGGGGCACCCUUGUCUUGAGAGAAUUCACAAGGAAAAGGGAAGCCCCUUUCCUCAGCCUCCAGCCCCAUCAUCCCUCCUUCACUCAUUGGUCUAAGGGUUAGGGGAUGAGGAUAGGAGACCGGCUUCAACAGAGCCCUAUUCAAGAAAGAAUGCAACAGAUUGCUGGGUCCAGGCUCUUGGGCAUUUCUGCCUCCUGAGAUCGACCCUGGCCCCACUUUUAGAUCCUGCUGGACACUGCCUAGAUGACUUCUAUCUGGAAACUACCCAGUUCAAGCCAAGUCUUCUGGCCUCUGGUGACUUUCCCUUUUGGUAUCAUUGGGAGGAUAUGCACAAGCAUCAUGGACAACAGACAGAAAUGUGUUACUCUUAUGCUAGGUGGUCACUUCACCUCUCUGAAUGUUGGUUUUUUUCACCUGUAAGAUGGGGAUAUUAUUAUUCACACAUAGGUACUAUGGGACUCCAAAGAGAUUUGCAUAAAGAAUUCAGUACAGUACCAGGCACAUAUUAACAGUAGCUAUAGUUCCAUGAUGUGGACACAAUGUGACACAGGAGCCAACUGAGGCUUAGAGGGGUUAAGUUACUGCCCAGGGUACUACAGUAUCAGAAGCUCAAUAACUUCCUCUUUGGUCACAUAAGUAUCUCUGUUCUUUUGUUGUUUCAAAUGUAUGGAUCCUGGUUUUCCUUUAGACUGUAUACUCUUUAAGGAAAAGACAGUAGAUCAGCUGUUCUUUUUUCCCCCUGCUACUAACCCAGUCCACUAAAAAAAAAAAAAAAAAAAAAAAAAAAAAAAUCUUAUUGAACUUGAAUAAGUAUCAAUUCCAGAAGCAAAAUUAAUCCUUUCCCUCCUCCUCUGGCUCAAAGAUGACUUUUGGAAACCCAUGUCACUCCUUUUAUUACAAACUCCUCUGCCCUCCUCCAGGCGCCUGGGCCACUCCGGGAUUACAAAUGGAGCCUUCUGCCUCUAGGUCACUGAUUCCGCUACCAUCUGUCAGCACCGAUUGAUUGAGUAGACUGGCCCUGCUCUGCAGAUCAGUGACUUGUGCGAAGUGAGCCGGGGUGUUGGUGCCUUCGGCAGCAGGCUGAUGUUCUUCCUCUCACUCACUGGCUCUUGAGCAUGCAAACAGCCCUCACCUUUAUCCUUCACCAGCCCUGGAUCUCCUUCCCCUUGGGAGGGGCCAGCUGCUCACAACCCCAGCACACCAAGAGGGAAGCCUGAAAGCCCUGCUUCUCAAGCCUGAGCCCCAGGCUCCGCUCUCAGUCUUCCAGAAGAUGAGGAGACUGAGGCACGGAGCAGUGAGGAGGAAUCAGAGCUGGAAUCUGAACACAGGCUAGUGGGCUGCAGAGCCCCUGCAUCUUCGCUUUAUCAUGAGAUAACAAUAGGGAGGUUCCUUUCCAUUGGGAUUAUUUCUGCUUGAAAGCACAAGACUUUUAGCCACAUCAUUGUCUGGGCUCCACAGGAAGGCAGUGCCACAUGCUGAGGCAUGCUGGGAAAAGACUUUGUUCCAUCCUGUUUUGUUGACAUGCUCUUCAUUUUUAAGCCUGAAACCCAAGCUUCCUGCUAAGAUUUCAAAUCGUGGAGAAAAAACCCAACCAUGAUAAUGGCCACGACUUCCUAAGCCUCCAGUGUGCCCUGUGCUUGGGGCUCCAGAUAUGUCAUUUAACCUCAACCUUCACAAUGACAGGAGCAGCCCCCAGAACACAGCUGGAGAAACUGGAGGUCAGAGUUGCUAAGAUGCCUAAAGGCUGGCCCAGGAUGCAGGUGUGGUGUGGCCCUGGAUGCUGCCUUCUCCGACAGCGGGAGCUGAGAGACAGGGAUGCCCAUGCUCCCUCCUCUCGCUCCCUCCAGUGACUCAGGAUAGCCACCCUGCUGUGCUUAAAAAGGCACCAGUCUUCUGGAAGGAGCCCCACCACUGAGGAUCCUCAUCGAUGCCUGUCUCCCCACCAGCUCCUGGGGAUAACCGCCAGAGCAGGUGUGCCCUGCCUCAGGACCAGCACAGCAGGAGUGGGGGCUCCUCCGACCCUCAGCCAGUCCUUGACUACAGCCUCUUUUCCCAGCCCACCCAUCCCUGCAGCCGACUCAUUUCCACCCCAAACCAGCUUUGACCUUACUCUCCCUGGAUCAGUGGUUUUCAGUGGGUGCCGAGGACGUUUGUUCCUGUCUUGGAAGGCAAAGCCCUCUUCUGGCUCAGCUCACCUUUCCCACCUUCACUCCUGCCUCUCAGUCUGUCUCUUCGCGACUAAACAGACUGUUCCUGUCCCGAGCCUGCCUGUCCCCAAGGGAGAAAUGUCCUUUCCUUUUCUUUACAGAUAAAAGCUACCCUCUUUCACAUCUUACUCAGAUGCCACCUUCCCCA